Molecule: long non-coding RNA, 1155 nt
Filed under: Macaca mulatta (Rhesus monkey)
Lineage: Eukaryota; Metazoa; Chordata; Mammalia; Primates; Cercopithecidae
Description: lncRNA (ENSMMUG00000061784.1)
Source: RNAcentral
UGGUAAAUUUUUGACACUUGUGGAAAGAGAGACAAGUAAGCCGAUUAUUAGGAUGUUGUGCAAUGCAGGCUAUAACAGGUGGAAGAGAAGGUGCUACUUGAACACACACAAUGACUCUCUAAGUCAGUGCUGGGGUGUAGGGGAAGAAAUGAAGGCUUCCUAGAAGAUCUGAUAUUUAAAGUGAGACCGAAGCAUACAGAUGUUUCCUCUGUGGAGAACUGUAUACUUACUGUUACUUAGUUCUAAAGACACAGCUUCCUUUUUCUAACACUCUUGUCCCAGCUUUGGUUCCUUAGACGUUAUAAGAUUCUUGACAUCUUAUUGUAUUUCCUCUAACCCUGCUACAAAUUCUUCAUUUUUUCCAAUGAGUCUAACUUUGGAGAAGCAUCCCUCUGUUCACUCCGCUUCUCCUUGAAUACAGCAUUGAGUUGCAUUAUCACAUUAUUGCAAACAGAGCUGGUUCUGAUUUUUCCUCCCACCCCCUAAUACCACAAAUUUAGUGAUAGAACCACAAGUAGAAUAUCCAAUCAAGAACUCUCUAUUAGAUGACACUGAAUCAAACCUAACAGUGCUGUCAAUUAAAAUUCACGUACCCUGUUGCAUAAACAGGCGAUUACGUAAGUUGUGUGCUGACGAAGCAGUGUUGAGACAUGCUGUCUGGCAAUUGGUCUCUCCUAUUUGGUUGCAAGUUUCAGUUUCCUGGCAAGUCUUGUUUCGCCGUCCAUCUGGUACAAGUGAGCUCAGCAAGACAGCCAGGGUGAGCAGAAAGCCCACAGACACGGGAAAAGGCUUCACAGGUAGCUGGCAUUCAGCAAACUCAAUCUCAUGUGCCAACAGGAUUAGAUUUAACAUCGAUAACUGGUGAAUGUCUCAUCCACCCACAGCUUCCUGUAUUUCAGGAUUUUCCAAAAUUCACAGGUACGUAUAGCAGUAUCAUGUUCUGAGCUGGUACCAUUUCCAAAUGAGAGUUCAAGGCAGCACACAGUGUUAUGGAGUUAGAUAUGGUAAGGUAAGUAUGUGUGAGGGAGACAUAGUCAAGUGGCUGCAACUGUGUAUGUGCAUAAUUCCCUUUAUUUUCUUUCACAAAUGUAUAAAGGUAUUACAUCUACUAACUUUUUUAUAUUUUAUAUAUAUAUAUAUAUGUAUAUUUUAGAU